GUGUCAGCCGCCGCGGUAAGACGGAGGGCGCGGGCGUUGUUCGGAAUUACUGGGCGUAAAGCGCGCGCAGGCGGAUGGGCAAGUCGGAAGUGAAAUUCCGGGGCUCAACCCCGGACCGGCUUCCGAUACUGUUCGUCUAGGGACCGGUAGGGGCCGGUGGAAUUCCCGGUGUAGCGGUGGAAUGCGUAGAGAUCGGGAAGAACACCCGUGGCGAAGGCGGCCGGCUGGGCCGGAUCCGACGCUGAGGCGCGAAAGCGUGGGGAGCAAACAGGAUUAGAUACCCUGGUAGUCCACGCCGUAAACGAUGGGUGCUGGAUGCCGGGGGGAGCGACCCCUUCGGUGUCGUAGCUAACGCGUUAAGCACCCCGCCUGGGGAGUACGGCCGCAAGGCUGAA
Molecule: ribosomal RNA, 395 nt
Filed under: uncultured bacterium
Lineage: Bacteria
Description: bacterial SSU rRNA
Rfam family: Bacterial small subunit ribosomal RNA
Source: RNAcentral